RNAcentral lists this long non-coding RNA (1114 nucleotides) under Brassica napus (rape). RNAcentral describes it as "long non-coding RNA (BNAP_LNC019465)". Lineage: Eukaryota; Viridiplantae; Streptophyta; Magnoliopsida; Brassicales; Brassicaceae. The record is from RNAcentral.
UCAUUCUAAUCAAACCAGCAUGAACCGGGAUGUAAGAAGCUUGAUAUGGAUACAUAAAGUAGUGGAGAAUCACCAGGAAGUUGAAUAAAUUUCAUAGGAGUUAGGAUGAAGAAGCUAUCCCACUUUGAAAUCAGGUGAUCCCAGUUUUCCUGUUUGGGAAUACGACAACUUCUUCGUCAUUCUUAUCAAACCAGGAUGAACUGCGAUAUAAGAAGCUUGAUAUGGAUACAUAAAGUAGUGGAGAAUCACCAGGAAGUUUGAAUAAAUAUCAUAGGAGUUAGCAUAAAGUUUGAAUUAAUCUCAUUGGAGUUAGGAUGAAGAAGCUAUCCCACUUUCAAAUUAGGUGAUCCCAGUUUUUCUGUUUGGGAAUAUGACAACUUCUUCGUCAUUCUUAUCAAACCGGGAUGAACUGCAAUAUAAGAAGCUUGAUUUGGAUACCUAAAGUAGUGGGAGAAUCACCAGGAAGUUGAAAAAAUCUCAUAGGAGUUAGGAUGAAGAAGCUAUCCCACUUUCAAAUCAGGUGAUCCCAUUAUUCAUGUUUGGGAAUAUGACAACUUCUUCGUCAUUCUUAUCAAACCAGGAUGAACUGCGAUAUAAGAAGCUUGAUAUGGAUACAUAAAGUAGUGGAGAAUCACCAGGAAGUUUGAAUAAAUAUCAUAGCAGUUAGGAUGAAGAAGCUAUCCCACUUUCAAACUUUCAAAUCAGGUGAUCCCAGUUUUUCUGUUUGGGAAUAUGACAACUUCUUCGUUAUUCUUAUCAAACCAUGAUGAACCGCGAUGUAAGAAGCUUGAAUUGGAUACAUAAAGUAGUGGAGAAUCACCAGGAAGUUGAAUAAAUCUCAUAGGAGUUAGGAUGAAGAAGCUAUCCCACUUUCAAAUCAGGUGAUCCCAGUUUUCUUGUUUGGGAAUAUGACAACUUCUUCGUCAUUCUUAUAGAACCAUGAUGAACCGCGAUGUAAGAAGCUUGAUUUGGAUACAUAAAGUAGUGGAGAAUCACAGAAAGUUGAAUAAAUCUCAUAGGAGUUAGGAUGAAGAAGCUAUCCCACUUUCAAAUUAGGUGAUCCCAGUUUUUCUGUUUGGGAAUAUGACAACUUCUUCGUCAUUCUAAUCAAACC